This 273-nucleotide long non-coding RNA is filed under the name Lathyrus oleraceus (garden pea). RNAcentral's name for it is "Pisum sativum (pea) long non-coding RNA (PSAT_LNC014283)". Lineage: Eukaryota; Viridiplantae; Streptophyta; Magnoliopsida; Fabales; Fabaceae. The record is from RNAcentral.
AAUAGUUGUCACACAAACACAAAGAGACGCUGAGACGUCAAAAGAAACAAAAAGGUUGAAAAAGAAAAAAGGGCCCGGAGAGAUCUCGCUCGAUCUCCUGCCUACGUAUCUCAUCUGGUAUGAGAAUCAGGGCAAUGUAGUUCCCCUUAACAGGGGAAAGGAGACAACAAACUAAUAGGGAGUCUCAGACUCGAGCCUAAUAGUUGGCACACAAACACAAAGAGACGCUGAGACGUCAAAAGAAGCAAAAAGGUUGAAAAAGAAAAAAAAAGG